RNAcentral lists this ribosomal RNA (253 nucleotides) under uncultured bacterium. RNAcentral describes it as "partial 16S ribosomal RNA". It matches the Rfam family "Bacterial small subunit ribosomal RNA", at positions 524 to 776 of the family's 1533-position model. The record is from RNAcentral.
UACAGAGGGUGCUAGCGUUGUUCGGAAUCAUUGGGCGUAAAGGGCUUGUAGGCGGUUUGUUAAGUCAUGUGUGAAAUCCCUCGGCUCAACCGGGGAACGACGCAUGAAACUGGCAAGCUAGAGUACCAAAGAGGGGGGUGGAAUUCCCGGUGUAGCGGUGAAAUGCGUAGAUAUCUGGAGGAACACCGGUGGCGAAGGCGGCAUCCUGGACCGACACUGACGCUGAGGAGCGAAAGCCAGGGGAGCAAACGGG